Long non-coding RNA from Alligator mississippiensis (American alligator), 2110 nucleotides. RefSeq lists it as uncharacterized. The record is from RefSeq and is a predicted model, not a curated record. NCBI's taxonomy places the organism in Eukaryota, Metazoa, Chordata, Crocodylia, Alligatoridae. The transcript has 6 exons.
CCGGGCCGGGCCGGGCCUGCAGGGAGGUGUGCUCUCGCGACCGAGCGCCGGGUGAGGACCGGGUUUGAAUACAAGGCUUCACAGGUGGAGCCACGGGGUCUACAAGAGACCAGCCGCCACCAGACGAGAGUCCCCACCUCUCGGGUGACAUCCUUAGUCGCUCCUUUGGGUAGACCGAAGUGCGUUACGAGAAAGGGCUUCCGGCCCCACGUCACGCAGUAGCUGCGGUUUGUGAAGUUCUUUACAAAGGUAUACAUAACAAACGGACUGGUGUUGUGUUAUGCAGUUGUAUGUUAUGCAGAUCAUCGUGUAUACAUAACAGGUACUGAGUUAUCCACUGAUUUCACCUGGAGACAGGUAUGUGUAAUCUACUAGAGAACGUGUGUGUUAUAGGCCUCCCUCUGUGAUCCAUUUACAUAGGGUGGGUCAUUUAUAGUUCCCAGCCACAAAUAAUUAGUACUUAGUAGUCCGUGCGGAGCUGAGGUAUACUGGCCAAGAGACCAGUUCUAAAUUAAUCGGGGUAUUCAUUUGGGAUUUGAAUUUAUUUGAUUCUCAGAUGUUCAGAACCAGCUUUCUUGGAGCAAGGGGAAUGUACAACCCUUCAGAGAAUGUGCAUUACAAGCCCUUCUCUAUUCUUGGUCCACAAAGGAUAGCAGUUGUUACAGAAGAUGAGAACUUGGCUUUUAGUUUUGAAGGCUUUUAGUUUUCAAUCUUGUACAUUGGCUGAGAGGAUGUUGUCACAGCUGCUUAGCAUCUUGCAUCAUCAGAAAGCUCCUUUGCUUUAUACUUGAUAUGCACAAAUCACAUUUUCAGUGUAAGCCUGCCCCUCUCUGGAGCUUAGGUACCCAAGUCAGGGCUGCAGACAGGGUCCUCUCCACUUGGGAACCAGAGCUUGGAGUCCUCUCCUAACAAGGGAACUUUACCAGGCUCACUAUUUUUCUUUUAAAACAUGGACAACUGGGGGGGGGGGCAUCAUUCCCAUCUUUUAUGUAAUAACCUAGUGGUUUGAUCGCUCAGCUAGUAUGUGGGAGACCUGAAACCAAGGCUCUUCUCACCUGAGGGGGUUCCAACCCACUCUCACCUGUUAGGAGAAUGUUCUAAUGACCAAGGAAAGAGCCCAGGUUGGGAAGGGACACUGCACCUCUCCUAAUGAAGCUGUGCUACUCUGCAGAAAGGUAUGGAAGCUUUAUGGGGCUAGAAAGAGAGGGCAUAAGAGGAUGAUGCUGUGGGCUGGUAGCUAUAGCAUUCACCUGGGAGUGGGAAGCCUGGAGUUCUCAUCUUCCAAGGACUUACUCCAUUUUCUAUUAAACAAUCCUUGUAUAAAAUGCAUGAACAGUCACCAAAGCAGAGACCAGCUCCCAGGACAAUCCUGCUUCUCACCUCCAGUUCAGUCUGAGUCCACUUUCUUGAAGACAAGGCUAAUUUAACUCUCUGCGGACUACAUGUUAAGGCUCCAAUUCAGCAUGAUAUUUAAGCAGUUGCAUAACUUUGGACGGCUCUCCUCUCCAGCCAAAGGCUAGUUUGCAAACAUCUGUAAGGCACUGGCAUUCCCUGGCAAUGAGCAAAGAGACAGAGCAACUUUUUCUUUGACUAUCUGCUACUGCUGGGGUGUAAUUAAUCACCUUAGCUACCCUGAGGUUUUGUGCAUGGAUGAUGUAAACUUCUGGAGCAGAAUCAUGAACCACAACCAACAGGCAUUUUUUGGUAUCAAGCAUCCAAAUGAAUUGCUGCACCUAGGCCAGAUCUCGUACUGAAAGUGAGAGACAACCAAGCAGGCAAGAAGAGCUUACUCAGACUUAGCAUUACAGCUAUUUUACACUGGGAGAAGAAAGACUAAGAAGCAUUUUUACCCUCCUACUCUUUGACAAGUUCGAUGAGAGUGGAAGGGUGUAUACAAGGGGAAAUCUGAAUCAAACAUUACCUGUAAGAAACACCUCACACUAUUUGCAUGGUGGAGAGGCAGAAAAUGCCAGUCCAGCUGUGUAGGAUGAGAUCACCACACUGAUCUCACUGUUUUGAAUUCUCUCAUUUUACUGACUCUGUUUUACACAAUGUUUUCUCAAAGUAGGCCUAACAUUAUUGUAAAAAAUUAAAAAGGAAGAGAAUUUCA